GUUACUUCCGUGGCAGAGGCUAUUCAACGGUCAAGGGCUGGUCUCUCCGACCCGAACCGUCCAAUUGCUAGUUUCAUGUUCAUGGGCCCCACGGGAGUUGGCAAGACAGAGCUGGCCAAGGCUCUUGCUUCUUAUUUGUUCAACACCGAGGAAGCACUUGUCAGAAUUGACAUGAGCGAGUACAUGGAAAAGCAUGCAGUUUCGAGAUUGAUAGGUGCGCCGCCGGGUUACGUUGGAUAUGAAGAGGGCGGGC
This 253-nucleotide unclassified non-coding RNA is filed under the name Hevea brasiliensis (rubber tree). The record is from RNAcentral. Lineage: Eukaryota; Viridiplantae; Streptophyta; Magnoliopsida; Malpighiales; Euphorbiaceae.